CAACGCCGCGUGAGGGAUGACGGCCUUCGGGUUGUAAACCUCUUUUAGCAGGGAAGAAGCGAAAGUGACGGUACCUGCAGAAAAAGCGCCGGCUAACUACGUGCCAGCAGCCGCGGUAAUACGUAGGGCGCAAGCGUUAUCCGGAAUUAUUGGGCGUAAAGAGCUCGUAGGCGGUUUGUCGCGUCUGCUGUGAAAUCCCGAGGCUCAACCUCGGGUCUGCAGUGGGUACGGGCAGACUAGAGUGCGGUAGGGGAGAUUGGAAUUCCUGGUGUAGCGGUGGAAUGCGCAGAUAUCAGGAGGAACACCGAUGGCGAAGGCAGAUCUCUGGGCCGUAACUGACGCUGAGGAGCGAAAGGGUGGGGAGCAAACAGGCUUAGAUACCCUGGUAGUCCACCCCGUAAACGUUGGGAACUAGUUGUGGGGUCCAUUCCACGGAUUCCGUGACGCAGCUAACGCAUUAAGUUCCCCGCCUGGGGAGUACGGCCGCAAGGCUAAAACUCAAAUGAAUUGACGGA
Molecule: ribosomal RNA, 515 nt
Filed under: uncultured bacterium
Lineage: Bacteria
Description: bacterial SSU rRNA
Rfam family: Bacterial small subunit ribosomal RNA
Source: RNAcentral